GUCAAGAUAAACAAGAUGGUGAAGCAAUUGACACUUUUAGUAAUAAUUGCUGUUGUGCUAAUAUUAGGAGAAGUCUCAGGUACCAUAUGUUUUAAACACUCAAGUGAAUAAAGACAGAAAAUGUUUGAUAAUAAUAUUAUUUAUUUAUUUUAUUUUUACCAUGAUGUGAUGGCGGGAAGCCUUGUUUUAAAGGCACACUUCGUCAAAGUCAGGGAAGAAAGAUGUUUGCAACCAAUUCUGCGUGGUGAAUGUAAUGACUAUCACACAAGGUAUGCCUACGAUCCGGAGAUAAAUAAAUGCGUGAGAUUUAAAUAUGGCGGCUGCGGAGGGAGCUCGAACGAGUUCCUUCACCAUCAUGAGUGUCGACAUGCUUGCAUAAUAUAAUUAAAUACGAGGAUUCAAUCAGCCUAUCGCCAUCUACUAAACGUAGGCAAAUGAGCGCCUACCACGCCGGUCCGCUGCCCGCCGCUUUUCAAGUCUAAUAAAUAAAAAAGUAAAAAAAAAAUGUUGUUAAACGGUUUUAUAUUGCAGAUAAAUGUACUAAAAGC
This 548-nucleotide unclassified non-coding RNA is filed under the name Manduca sexta (tobacco hornworm). RNAcentral's name for it is "trypsin inhibitor-like, transcript variant X5". Lineage: Eukaryota; Metazoa; Arthropoda; Insecta; Lepidoptera; Sphingidae. The record is from RNAcentral.